GACGAACGCUGGCGGCGUGCUUAACAUAUGCGAGUCGAACGGAAAGGCCCUGCUUUUGUGGGGUGCUCGAGUGGCGAACGGGUGAGUAACACGUGAGUAACCUGCCCUUGACUUUGGGAUAACUUCAGGAAACUGGGGCUAAUACCGGAUAGGAGCUCCUGCUGCAUGGUGGGGGUUGGAAAGUUUCGGCGGUUGGGGAUGGACUCGCGGCUUAUCAGCUUGUUGGUGGGGUAGUGGCUUACCAAGGCUUUGACGGGUAGCCGGCCUGAGAGGGUGACCGGCCACAUUGGGACUGAGAUACGGCCCAGACUCCUACGGGAGGCAGCAGUGGGGAAUAUUGCACAAUGGGCGGAAGCCUGAUGCAGCAACGCCGCGUGCGGGAUGACGGCCUUCGGGUUGUAAACCGCUUUCGCCUGUGACGAAGCGUGAGUGACGGUAAUGGGUAAAGAAGCACCGGCUAACUACGUG
RNAcentral lists this ribosomal RNA (468 nucleotides) under uncultured bacterium. RNAcentral's name for it is "partial 16S ribosomal RNA". It matches the Rfam family "Bacterial small subunit ribosomal RNA", at positions 28 to 507 of the family's 1533-position model. The record is from RNAcentral.